Molecule: long non-coding RNA, 222 nt
Filed under: Lathyrus oleraceus (garden pea)
Lineage: Eukaryota; Viridiplantae; Streptophyta; Magnoliopsida; Fabales; Fabaceae
Description: Pisum sativum (pea) long non-coding RNA (PSAT_LNC017097)
Source: RNAcentral
UUCACUUUAAAAAAUCAUAACUAAAUAAAUACUCAUCCAAAUAAUGUGGCGUUUUUUGCAUUAUUCUCCAUUCUGUUUCUAGUAUUUUUUUGACUAUUUUUCCAGAAAUUAUGCAUGGAUGGAAUUUAAUUUGACCUAGGGUUUGUGUAUGCAUGUCCAAUUUGUACCUUGCUUGCCAUAUGCUUUGUGAAAUGAUGAGAUUUAAUCCAAUGCUUGUGAAAU